CAAAGUGUAGCUUAAAUACAAAGCAUCUAGCUUACACCUAGAGGAUAUCAUGCACAAAUAAUCACUUUGA
RNAcentral lists this transfer RNA (70 nucleotides) under Diphylla ecaudata (Hairy-legged vampire bat). RNAcentral describes it as "tRNA-Val". It matches the Rfam family "tRNA". From Rfam's summary of the family: Transfer RNA (tRNA) molecules are approximately 80 nucleotides in length. The record is from RNAcentral. Lineage: Eukaryota; Metazoa; Chordata; Mammalia; Chiroptera; Phyllostomidae.